RNAcentral lists this ribosomal RNA (695 nucleotides) under uncultured bacterium. RNAcentral's name for it is "bacterial SSU rRNA". It matches the Rfam family "Bacterial small subunit ribosomal RNA", at positions 111 to 823 of the family's 1533-position model. The record is from RNAcentral.
UAACGCGUGAGGAACCUGCCUUUCAGAGGGGGACAACAGUUGGAAACGACUGCUAAUACCGCAUAACACAUAGGUGUCGCAUGGCACUUAUGUCAAAGAUUUAUCGCUGAAAGAUGGCCUCGCGUCUGAUUAGCUAGUUGGUGAGGUAGCGGCCCACCAAGGCGACGAUCAGUAGCCGGACUGAGAGGUUGAACGGCCACAUUGGGACUGAGAUACGGCCCAGACUCCUACGGGAGGCAGCAGUGGGGAAUAUUGGGCAAUGGGCGCAAGCCCGACCCAGCAACGCCGCGUGAAGGAAGAAGGCUUUCGGGUUGUAAACUUCUUUUGUCAGGGACGAGCAGAAGACGGUACCUGACGAAUAAGCCACGGCUAACUACGUGCCAGCAGCCGCGGUAAUACGUAGGUGGCAAGCGUUGUCCGGAUUUACUGGGUGUAAAGGGCGUGUAGCCGGGAGGGCAAGUCAGAUGUGAAAUCCACGGGCUCAACUCGUGAACUGCAUUUGAAACUACUCUUCUUGAGUAUCGGAGAGGCAAUCGGAAUUCCUAGUGUAGCGGAGAAAUGCAUGAUAUUAGGAGGAGCACCAGUGGCGAAGGCGGAUUGCUGGACGACAACUGACGGUGAGGCGNNAAAGCGUGGGGAGCAAACAGGAUUAGAUACUCUGGUAGUCCACNUUGUAAACGAUGAAUACUAGGUGU